Molecule: ribosomal RNA, 253 nt
Filed under: uncultured bacterium
Lineage: Bacteria
Description: partial 16S ribosomal RNA
Rfam family: Bacterial small subunit ribosomal RNA
Source: RNAcentral
UACGAAGGGUGCAAGCGUUACUCGGAAUUACUGGGCGUAAAGCGUGCGUAGGUGAUUUUUUAAGUCCGUUGUGAAAGCCCUGGGCUCAACCUGGGAAUGGCAGUGGAUACUGGAAAGCUAGAGUGCGGUAGAGGGUAGUGGAAUUCCCGGUGUAGCAGUGAAAUGCGUAGAGAUCGGGAGGAACACCAGUGGCGAAGGCGGCUACCUGGACCAGCACUGACACUGAGGCACGAAAGCGUGGGGAGCAAACAGG